UGGGUAGAAGAAGUGAGAACUGAGGGAUUCCCUCCAACAGGAAACAGGAACUGAGUGGGCAGUUCGGGGGGACAGAGCUGGCCUUCAGAACAGGAAAGCAGUCUGUUUCUGGCUAGCUGAGAGCCUUCAAGUUUUUCAGAAAAUGUUGGCACAGGUACAGCCCCGUCCUGUCACGGAAGGGUAGACGCUGUCCACACAGCUAGCUUGCUAGCGAGUGUGGUUCCAAAAAAGAGAAUUAGACAGAAAAAAAUGGGGGUGAAGUGGUCCCCAGGCCUGAGAGAUGGAGAAUGGAGUGUAAGAAUCGCUGGAUACGCACGGAGAGACCUCAGGAACUCCACAGGCCAGUGUCAGUGGUUGGAACCCAGACGAGGCAAUUCGGACAUACAAAGAGACACCAGGAGUGCAGACAAGCAGAGGAGGGACUGUGCGAGGACUCAGCGAGAAGGGGCUACCUGCAAGCCAAGGAGAGACGCUGCAGAAGAAGCCAAACCUGUUGACACCUCGAUCUUGGACUUUCAGCCUCCAGGGGCGGGGGAAGUCCAUUUGCACAUACUGGUCUGUGGUAGUCUGUUAUGGCAGCCCCGGCAAACUGAUGCCGUAGGGUUGGGUAUGAACCGAGUGAGGCAGCUAGAUGCCGAAGCAAAGGAUGGGAAGAGAAGAGACUGUCCCAACAGGCAGGACAGCUGGUGUGCGGCACUGUGCCUAUGUUAAGGACCCUGAGCUUUUUCCCGGAGGCGAAGGGAAGCUUUGGGAGAGUUUUAAGCAAGGAGGUGGCAGAAUCAGAAGGUGUUUCAAGGAGAGCUCCCCAGCGGCGACGAGGAAGGUGGAUUUGAUGAGACAGAAAGAUCAAGUCGGAGGCUGUUGGAUUGGUACCAGCGAGUUAUUAAUGGGACUCACAUCCAGGGAGACAGCAGUACCAUGAAUGGAGAAGGACCCAGCUGAGAAUACUUACGAGGAAAGUUCAUAGUGCCGGCUGAAACCCUCCCAGGGCAAGGAGUGGAGAGGAGGAGGAAUUGGAAGGCCCCCACUUUUGGCCUGGGACAAGCGUGGGAACGUGAGCCACCACGGAUGAGCUCACUGCCAUAGGAGACGAGCAGAUGGGGCCCAGGGAGUGGGGUUACCAGUGAGAGGCCUGUAGGGCCACCAGGAAGACAGGAUGUCAAAUGGGUCGCUAAGCAGUUGCCUCUGAUCUUUGAGGGAGAGUGGAGCCAGCCUGUAGAUGUGGGAGCCUCCAGCAAAGAGGGGAGGUAUGGCCAGCGGUGCCCACGCCACUCACAAUCCAUGGGGCCCUUUUAUCAUCCGUGUGCACAUCAACUCCUGGCAUGCUCUCCAUGACUCUUGGUCAGAUGUGGCUCUUGGGUGGCCCAAGCCUGUUUUGCCUGCAAACACAAGAGUCGGAAGUACCUGGGAACAUCCAUCUAUCGAAGCAAUGGGGACACAUGCAGGGGUGUGUCCACAGUCUGGGCCAUACCCCUGCAGGGACAACUCUGAGACUGACCCACACCACCUUCCAGGGCCAUCCUAUGGGACUUGACUUGAUAUCAUAGCACCCUGGCUUGGCCUCCUCCCCCUCUCUUUGCUUCUACUUCCUGUCCUGGGCAUACUUCCUAAUAAAUCUCUUACACAUGAA
Molecule: long non-coding RNA, 1630 nt
Organism: Leptonychotes weddellii (Weddell seal)
Lineage: Eukaryota; Metazoa; Chordata; Mammalia; Carnivora; Phocidae
Source: RefSeq, a predicted model, not a curated record